CAGCUGCUGUAAGAAAAUCGCACAGACAGACUACAAACAGAGGCACAACUAUGUGGCCCAAAUGAUCCAUUGGAACUUAUGCCUCAAGUACCACCUCCCUGCAGUAAAGAACUGGUGGGAUCACAAACCUGCAAAAGUAUUGGAAAAUGAGCAUGCAAAGAUACUGUGGGACUUCCGAAUCCAGACUGACAAAGUUCUGGAACACAACACACCAGACAUCACAGUUGUGGAAAAGAAAAAGGUUUGGAUCAUUGAUGUCGCCAUACCAGGUGACAGUCGCAUUGAUGAAAAACAACAGGAAAAACUCAGCCGCUAUCAGGACCUCGAGAUUGAACUUCAAAGACUCUGGCAGAAACCAGUGCAGGUGGUGCCGGUGGUGAUGGGCACACUGGGUGCCAUGCCAAAAGAUCUCAGCCGGCAUUUGGAAACAAUAUACAUUGACAAAAUUACGAUCUGUCAACUGCAAAAGGCCACCCUACUGGGAUCUGCGUGCAUCAUCCAAAAAUACAUCACAGAGUCCUAGACACUUGGGAAGUGUUUGACUUGUGAUUUUGUGAAACGAAAUCCAGCAUAUCGAUCUUGUUUGCUGUGUCAUACAACGUCGUUGUGUCAAUAAUAAUAAUAAAUUUUUCUAUCCCACCUCCAUCUCCCCGAAGGGACUCAGGGUGGCUAACAUGGGGCCAAGCCUGAAGAACAAACAGUAAACAGAAUAAAAUGCAUAUAUAGCCGACAUCAUCAUACAAAAAUAGUGGCUUAAUAUGCAGUGGGCAUGGAUGUGCAUUCAGAUGCUCCUCAAAAUGCACCAGGAAACCAGCUAGACCAUGAAGUACCCUCCAAGUAGUCAAUGUGCAUCAUGGUGAUCCACUAACAGGGUUUUGUUUCUGUAACAUAGCCACAGAGUAAAAAAGUUAUGAAAGGUAGGCUUUCACAUGCGGUAUGGAGGAAAUAUCCCAAAACAUGAACAGUGUUCUAACAUGUAAAGCUUUUCCAGAAAUCCAAACAGUAUUGCAGAAAUCAGCCCUGAAUUGUGAGUUUUGAACAGAAGACUAAGGUAAGUUAGAUUGGGUUGCUGUGAGUUUUCUGGGCGGUAUGUCCAUGUUCCAGAAGCAUUUUUUCCUCGCAUUUUGCUCACAUCUAUGGCAGGCAUCCUCAAAAUUUUUGUGAGGUCUGUUGGAAACUAGGCAAAUGGGGUUGGACUGUUCUGUGGGAUGUCCUGGGUGAGAGAAAGAUCUCGUCUGUUUGAGGCAAGUGUGAAUGUUGCAAUUGGCCAGCAAGAUUAGCAUUGAAUAGCCUUGCAGCUUCAAACCCUGACUGCUUCCUGCCUGGACAAAGUUAGAUUUAUAAAAUCCUAUUUGGAAGGGAUGACCGGGGCCAUCCAGUCCUUCUAACAUGUAGGAAGACACCAUCAAAGCACUCCUAGCAGGUGGCCAUUCAUCCAGCCCCUGCUUAAAAACCCCAAGAGAAGGAGACUAUACCAAAAUCCCAAUAUCACACUAUCAAACAGCUCUUGUUGUCAGGAAAUUCUUCCUAUGUUUAAGUGAAAUUUCUUUUCCCGUAGUUUGAAUCUGUUACUUCGUGUCUUAUUUCCUCAAGAUGUUAAAAAACAUGAUUUUCUCCUCCUUAACGUGACCUCCUUUCAAAUAUUUAAACAUGACUCUCAGGUCCCCUGUAAACCUCUUAUUCAAGCUAGAUAUUGCCAGAUUUCUCAGUUGCUCCUCAGAGAGAUUCAUAUUUUGCAUAUUUUCACCUUCCAGCCUAUCCAUAUCGUUCUUCGAUUGUGUGACCCAGAACUGGACACAGGGUUAUUCCAGGUGAAGUCUGACCAAAAUAGAAUAGAGUGGGACUAGGACCCACAGCUGUAUAAAAUCCACAUUACCUGGACUGGAUUAUACAGCAGUGUUGGAGGGAUCUAGGACUUCCUUCAAUCACCAUGCUUCUUUAGCUGCAGUAUUUUUUAUCAUGUCUGAAGUGACUUGAGAACAUAUUUCAAGUCACUUCUGGUGUGAGAGAAUUGUCCGUCUACAGAGACGUUGCCCAGGGGGACAUCCGAAAGUGUUGCUGGGAGGCUUUUCUCAUGUCCCCACAAGCUAGAGCUGACAGAUGGAAGCUCAUCCCAUCUUGCGGAUUCUGUUGAAGUGGGAAUGAUUGUAUAUAGAGUUGUUUAAAUAUAAUUGAGUUGUAGUGAUGCAAUAUGAGCUGGAGAUUGCAUCAUGCACUGUCUGCUGUCCACUAUGCGAGUGUGUAAAGAGUUAACUGUGUAUUGCAUCAGACAGCAGAGGUGGUUAUAAAUAGCUCCCUGUGUUAUCUGUUCGUUCUCUGCCCUCUGCCCUCUGCUCUCUGCUCUCUGCACUCUGUCUGUAUAUAUCGUCUUGAGAGUUUUCCGUUUGUUAGUAAAUCUUUUUUAGAUAGCCAAACAGGCUUCAGCCUCUUUAUUGGUGCCGGUGAUUCUUCAUUGAUCUUCCGCUGCAUGUGUGUUUAUCCAAACCGCGGGCUCUGACAGAUUCGAACUGGCAACCUUCAGGUCAGCAAUCCAACCUUCAGGUCAGCAGUUCACAUGUGUUUAACCCAUUGCACCACCGUGGCUCUUAGCUGCAGUAUUACAUUAUUGACUCUUGCUCAGCUUGUGGUUUAGAGUGCAUCUACACUACACUGCUUUAAUUACACAGCUCUGUGCUAUGGAAUCAUGGGAGUGGUUGUUUCACAGGACUUUUAAAACUAUGUUUACUUGUUACAGGUUGAAUAUCCCUUCUCCAAAGUUUGGGAGCUUUUUUGGAUUUUGAAAUAUUUGCAUCUACAAUGUGAGAUAUCUUUUAAGAUAGUAUCCAAGUCUAAACAUGGAAUUCACUGAUGUGCAAUACACCUUAUGCACAUAGUGGGAAGGCAAUGUUAUGCACAAUUUUAAAAAUAUGUUGUCGAAGGCUUUCAUGGACGAGAUCACAGGGUUGUUGUAUGUUUUCCGGGCUGUAUGACCAUGUCCAGAAGUAUUCUCUCCUGAUGUUUUGCCCACAUCUAUGGCAGGCAUCCUCAGAGGUUGUGAGGUAUAUGGAGAAACUAAGUAAGGAAGGUUUAUAUAUAUCUGUGGAAAGUCCAGGGUGAGAGAAGAACUCUUGUCAGUUGGAGGCCAGUGUGAAUGUUGUAGUUAAUCACCUUAAUUAGCAUUGAAUAGCUUCACCUCCUGGCUUCUUCCUGCCUGGGGGAAUCCUUUGUUCAGAGUCGUUAGCUGCCCCUGGUUGAUUCAUGUCUGGAACACUUCUGUUUUUUAAAAAAUAAUUUUGUGUGCACUAAAUCAUCCCAAAGCAAAGGGGUCACUAUCUCAGCCACUCACAUGGACAAUAUCAGAUUUUGAAUUUCUAGGUAAGAGAUGCUCAGGCCAUAUAAACUGCCUUGUGUUUUAAACCACAAAAAAGUGGUUUCACUUGGGGAUUUGCCUCUUCUACAAUGAGAAAUAUUAUUAUUAUUUGAAACACAACAAGAUGAGUCCACAGCAGACACUCUACUGGCUGUUGUAUUGGAUCACACAUCGGGCACUUCCCAAGUGUAUUAUUAUUAUUAUUAUUAUUAUUAUUAUUAUUAUUAUUAUUAUUAUUAUUUUAAUAUUAUAUUUAUUUAUAUCUUGCUUUUCACUCUUAAAGGAGACUCAAAGCGGCUAGUUCACCGAAAAGAUGCCAUUGGGAAAGAGGGAAGUGACCAAUAUACAUUGGAACCAAUAAACAAAGGACCAAAGUGCAUCAAGAGCAUUACAUAACUGGACCAAUGACCACUUCAGCAAUGCCUAGGCAGUACUGUUGCCCAUUGGUAGAGACCAACUCUAUGGCUAUAACAAGUCAAGAGCCAAAGGCCUGACUACAGAAAGAGCUAUGAAGGAACUUGACAAGAUCCCGAAGCGUCAAGAUAUAUCAUGGAAUACUAAAGUUAGGAUGAUCCAUGGCAUCGUAUUUCCCAUUUCUAUUCAUGCUUUUGAAAGCUGGACAGUGAAGAAAGCUGAUGCGAAGGGAAUCAACUCAUUUGACAUUAAAUGCUGGAGGAGAGAGAUGUUGCAAGACUAAAAACAAGAAGGAGAGGAGCCCUGCAUGCCACCUGGAAUCCACAGAAGUCAGGAGUGAGAUGGAAAAAUAAAUAAUAAACCAAUUGUAGGUGUGAGGACAGCACACAACUCAGGAUGGUCAGCAUUUCAGAGACCAAAAAGGCCUUGUCAGGUCAUGACAUGCGGAAUAUUAUUUCAGCAUGAAAGGAUGCAGGCAAUAUUUGGUCAAAGUAAUGUAACAUUACAUCUGCCAAGAACUAAGGACCAGCAGAAUCCUAUAUGAACAGUUACACUGCAUAACAUUAUGCAUACAAAGCUAUGUUGUUGAGGAGCUAAGAAAUUCCUCUUGGAAUUGCAAGGAUGUGUUGUUGCAAAGAUGUAUCCUGUUGUUCAUCGAUCCUGCUGUGCAUCAGACCUCAAUGCAUACUGGACACUUUGUAAAACACCUGUUGUUAUGUUGCGCCUUCAAGGGCUCUUCUACACAGUCAUAUAACCCAGAAUAUCAAGGCAGAUAAUCCACAAUAUCUGCUUUGAAUUGAGUUAACAGAGCCCAUACUGCCAUGUAA
Molecule: long non-coding RNA, 4590 nt
Organism: Anolis carolinensis (green anole)
Lineage: Eukaryota; Metazoa; Chordata; Lepidosauria; Squamata; Anolidae
Exons: 3
Source: RefSeq, a predicted model, not a curated record